Dentipellis sp. KUC8613 is the source of this 127-nucleotide non-coding RNA. NCBI's taxonomy places the organism in Eukaryota, Fungi, Basidiomycota, Agaricomycetes, Russulales, Hericiaceae. The record is from the annotation of a GenBank genome assembly.
GCCGCCGUGGCGCAACGCUAGCGCAUCACCUUCCUACCAGGAAGUCGGGACAAUAGAUCUCCUUCCGUGGGUCUGUGACUCUGCGGUAUAUAGGUGGGGGUUGCGGGUUCGAUCCCCGUCGGUGGUU